AACGAACGCUGGCGGCAUGCCUAACACAUGCAAGUCGAACGAGACCUUCGGGUCUAGUGGCGCACGGGUGCGUAACGCGUGGGAAUCUGCCCUUGGGUUCGGAAUAACAGUUGGAAACGACUGCUAAUACCGGAUGAUGACGUAAGUCCAAAGAUUUAUCGCCCAGGGAUGAGCCCGCGUAGGAUUAGCUAGAUGGUGGGGUAAAGGCCUACCAAGGCGACGAUCCUUAGCUGGUCUGAGAGGAUGAUCAGCCACACUGGGACUGAGACACGGCCCAGACUCCUACGGGAGGCAGCAGUGGGGAAUAUUGGACAAUGGGCGAAAGCCUGAUCCAGCAAUGCCGCGUGAGUGAUGAAGGCCUUAGGGUUGUAAAACUCUUUUACCCGGGAUGAUAAUGACAGUACCGGGAGAAUAAGCCCCGGCUAACUCCGUG
Molecule: ribosomal RNA, 433 nt
Filed under: uncultured bacterium
Lineage: Bacteria
Description: partial 16S ribosomal RNA
Rfam family: Bacterial small subunit ribosomal RNA
Source: RNAcentral